This 5725-nucleotide long non-coding RNA is filed under the name Panax ginseng (ginseng). RNAcentral's name for it is "long non-coding RNA (PGIN_LNC004592)". The record is from RNAcentral. Lineage: Eukaryota; Viridiplantae; Streptophyta; Magnoliopsida; Apiales; Araliaceae.
UACUAAUUACAUAUAUCUUAGUUACUGUAUAAUAUGUAUUUAGAUACUGUAAGGUGUUUAUUUGGUUACUCUAUAAUGUUAUUGAGUUUUAUAAUUGUUUCUUUUAUAUUGGUGGUUACUUAUUGACUACAUUAGUUACCUUCAUACAACUGUUAAUCUGAUUAUAUAUAUUGGUUGUUGUAUACUAUUUAAUUGGUUAUAGUAUAAUGUUUAUUUAGUUGCAGUGACAAUUUGACAAUUUUUAUCAAGUUUGGAGUGUCAGCUUUUGACGUUUUCGGAGCCUAAUUUCAUUGGAAAUGGGUCAAUGAUCAAAAGUCACAAGCUUUGCUGGUGAACUGCAGGGUUUUUUGGUCAAAUUUCAUCAUUUAGGCCUUCAAAAUUGCAUGUAAAAAUGUGAUUUAUAUUCUGGUUACUAAGAUUAUGUAAUUUGGUUACUGUCUAAUAUUGACUUGGUUACUUUACAAUGUUUAUUCAGUUGUUAGACAAUGGAGACUGACAGUAACCAAUACAACAAAUUUAAUUAUUUACAGGAAUAUAUAAUUGUUUACUGCUAGUAACUAUAAAUCACAUGGUUGGUAAUAUUUUUGAUGGUGUACAGUAACCAAAAUUGUUGUUGAUUAAUAUUUUAAUUUUUGAUUCCAUCAUGAGUUAUCAAUAUAAAGUAAACAUAUACAUUGAACAAUUGGUAACUGUUCUGAAACAUUUUUAUGUAAAUUUCGUUACCCGUCUAAAAUAAAAUGGUUACCUCUAUAUUCAUAUUUAGUUACCAACUGGCAUGGACUAUUUCCAAAUAACUUUUAUAACUACGUAAUUUAAAAAUAUACAUCAGCUAGAUAAAUAGAAACUCUCACAUGUACAUUAAGCACUUGAUACCAACCUGUGACGCCCCCAAAUUCGGGUAUCUUCCAACCCGACAGAUGGUGCUACACGGUACUACCAUUCACACAUACAUUCAAUUGAAAGGCCUCAAAGGAACAAAUAUGUCUUUUAUAUAUUCAAAAUAAUAUUAACAUUCCCCAACUUCUUUAUAACCAUUACAUUUAUUCUUGUCAUAGUAUCAAAUAUAUUACAACAUUAAACCUAUACUAUUACAAAAGUAUUCUACGGGUUUGUCUUCGCGUUUCCUUUAUCCUUGCCAGAUCCUUCGGUUCGUUCGGUCUUAGCAGUAUUCAUAUGGUUCAAGCAAGAGUGAGCAUGACUAACUCAGUAAGUACAACAAUUCUAUUUAACAAUAUGCUUGAAUCAUAGAAAACAUAUAUCUUUAAUAACUGAACAAUAGUUAUGAAGUACUAUCGAUAAUUCAAAAUAACACUUCUCUUUUCUUUAAAACAUUUUACAAUAACAAUAUUCAGUAAAACAUCAAUUCCUGUCCAAGACCUUGAACAUUUCAUACUUUAUUUGAAAAGGACAUCCCGACACUAAGUUUGUAUGUCCGACAUUUCUUACGAGCACGUCUAGGUGAUCAUCCUAUAGUACUCUAUGUUUAUCAACACUACAUUCAUUAAACGUAUGUACGUUUAAGUUGUGGCAACCUCACGUGCCUGUUGUUUGAUGACAAAAUAUUUUUAGCAUACUCAGUCUUCGUUUGAAAACCAUACCAAUAUAACUUGGUAAACAUUGACCAUGCUUUGUUAGAAACAUAAUAUAAAUCUAGCCAAAAGAGUUGGCUUUGAUUUCAUCAUACAUCAAUUCAUGCGUAAGAGUACAUGAACCACAAAGCUUGUCCAGAUUGAACUGAAACAAGGGUUAGAAUACUUGCCUUAAGCGUCUGUUACGGUUAUUACACGUUCACGUUAAGUCUUUAAGGUCUCUACAAUAGAUGAUCACAUAGCAUACACAUUAGGUCAUGAAUGAGCAUACAUGAUUCCUAAUGAAUCUUACCCUUCUUCACAAUCUAAUUAUGACUUAGAUUUGUUAUUAUUGGUUCCAGCUUUCCGUUAUGUCAUUUUUACAUUCAUAUGCAAUUGAGUUACUUGAACUCUAAGUGAUCAUACCUAAGGUUUAAACAUGUCUUAACAGUGUUGUAAUUAAGCUAUUGUUCAUGCUCUUCUUACAACCAUUCUUCAAUGUCAAAAUCCUAAGGCUGGCGCUGCGGCGCCAGCUUUACUACUCUGACCCACGCCGUGGCGCGACUCGCCAGUAGCUUUUCCCCGGUUCCGACGCUGCGGCGCCACACUUCAGUAGGUCACAGCAUCCUCUCGGCCAUGCUCGGUGCUGCAACGCCACCUAUUUGGCCUUGGGCUGGUGCCGCAGCGCCAACUCUGUGUACCAGAAAUUUUUUACAAAUUUUUAUUUUUGUGAAACUCCCAGGCUCGUAACUUCUUCGUUACAAGUCCGAAUUGGCUUGUUCAAGAGCCUACGGUUCACAAAUUACAUAAUCUACAUGUUCAUGCAAGAAUUUUAUAUUUUUGACUUCGUUUACUAAAAAUUCACCUAUUGGUUCAUUUUUAACGAAAAUGAUAAACGUUCGUGAACGUUCAACGAUAGUUUCUUCGUUCUAAGUCAGAAUUCGGUCAUUUUCGAGUCCGCAACUCUAUAAUGCCAAAUAAGACUUGUCUUCAUCGAAAACCAAUGUUUUCAAGUUCAAACAAAAAAUCCUACUUCCAUUCUGAGAAUUUCACGAAUUCGACGAUUAUCGUCCAAUCGUGUGAAUUCCGACAAAACUUCGUUACUUAGGAUUUGUUCAUCGUUUUAAAUGAAUUCAAUUCAUUCUAUAGACAUUUCAAUUUACAUAUUACAACAACUUAUUUUUAAGUUAUGAUUUGGCUUAUUCCUCAUAAGUUAAUAACUUAACAAAUUAUAAACUACUAGAUUCCAUUUCAACAUUCUUACAUACUUUAAUCAUGUUAACAACAUUCAUGCAAACAUGACACAAGUCUUACAAGUUCUUACUUAAUUCAUAGCUUAUCUAUGAACAAAGUGCUUAUUCUCGGCUUAUUAGGACUUAAGUCCUUAUUUUAUUCAUUUUUAUCAUUCUUAACAUACAAGACCAUCACUUCACUAUCAAGCUAUCAUGGAAGAGAUGGAAGAUUAUAGGACAAGAGUCUUAACCUUGAUGAACUAGUUCUUCUUUUCUUCUUGAAAAUCUAACAAUUGAAGUUUAACUUAAAAGUGCUUAUUCUCUCUAACACUUAAGUUGCUUUAUGUUGGAUGAAAAAUAACAAUCCAACAAAUGAAUUUUAAGCUUGCUAUUUAUAGACUUCUCCAAAUUAGGGCAUAUUGGUCAUUAUGUUAUCCCACCUCCUUAGUAACGCCUUACUAUUCACUUACUUAACAACUAAGUAAUCUUGCUAACCACACUAAUUACUUGGCCUCCACAACAAAUCAUUGGUCAUCAAGAUUACCCAUGGGUUGCCCCAUGGAUCAAGCUAGUCCAUUGGAUCAAUACAUUGGGCUUAGGUUUAAUUACAUAGCUUAUUCUUGUGGGCUUGCAUUAAUUUGUUUUGGGCUUCACAUUCACCACCACUUGGGCUUACACCCUAAUGUUUAUUGGCUAUUCAAUUGUUUACACAAUCCUACUAGUCCAUGUCAUUUAAUUAAAAACCUUAUCACAUAUACUAUACGUAUAAUUCUCGUAUUCUAAUUCGUAUACUAAUUCAUAAUAUACGGAAUAUUAUCAUUCACAUAUACUCGUAUAAUACUUCGUAUCAUACUCGUAUAUACUACCUCGCACAAUACAUACAUAUCAUAUGAUCAUUACAUUAGAUUCUUAAUACUUGAUUUUCCUAAUGUUCUCGAACUAAGUCCGCAUGCGAAAUAUUGCAUUUUCCAUACUUAGAUUAUUAUUACAUAAUCCAUCUUAACAUUAUAACAUUACAUAUUUUUCAGAAGUUCAAAAAUAAUUCCCGAGCGGAAAUCGAUGAAUAGUAUUUUUCAGAAAAUUUCUCGGAAAACUUUUAUUUUCGUCUUGAAAAUUCAAACACUUUAAUUCCUGCACGUGGUUAAAAUACUACAACUUUCUUACGUUUCUAGGUUAUAGAACGACAUUCAUCUUACUAACACAUAAUAAUAACAAAUAAUACUAUUUUAUUCAUUAUAAAAGUAUUUACAAAAGGUUCGAUUUUCUGGGGCGUUACAUCAUAACUAUUGUUCAGUUAUUGAAGAUAUAUAAUUCGUAUGAUUCAAGCAUAUUGUUAAAUGGAAUAGUUGUACUUGUUGAGCUAGUUAUGCUCACUCUUUCUUAAACCAUAUGAAUGCAGCUAAGACCAAACGAACCGAAAGAUCUGGUAAGGAUAAAGGAAAGGCUAAGGCAAACCUGUAGAUUACCUAUGUAAUAGUAUAGGUUUGUAAUGAUAAUAUUUGAUAUUAUGACAAGAAUAAAUGUAAUGGUUAUAAAGAACCUGGGGAAUGGUAAUAUUAUUUUUGAAUAUAUAUAUAUAUAUAAGACAUAUUCGUUCUUUUGAGGCAUUUCAAUUGAAUGUUUAUGUGAACUGUAGCACCGUGGAACACCAUAUGUCGGGUUGGAAGAUACCCAGAUUUGGGGGUGUCUAAGAGAAAGCUUCACAAAACAUAAUAAAAGAGAAAAAUAAUUAUUUAGUAUAGGGGACAUAACACCCAAACUUGCCGAAAGAGAAGAAAAAAGAUAUAACACAUAUUUUGUUCACACAAUGGACACUGAUUGUUCAUAUAUUAAUAUUCAAUUGUUCUAAAUGAUACAUAAGGAACCACUGUUUGUUCAUAAACCCAUAUUCAACUCAGUAUUAUAAAGAAUCACUGACUAAUUGAACAAAAACUUUUUAAAAAAAAUUGCCCAAGUCAAUUCAAUACCAAGCCAUCCUCAAUAUUAUAUAUAUAUAUAUAUAUAUAUAUAUAUAUAUAUAUAUAUAUAUAUAUAUACACACACACACACACAUACACAAAAAAAAAUAAAACUAAUUUGAAAACACAGAAAUUCCCAACUGAACAGAACAUGAAUAAAAAGUCAAGACAAUAUGCUUAAAGCAUCCAAUUACAUGAUGUAGUGUAUGACUAGAAAUCUCAGGUUACUUAUCAGCGACUAAUUAUCUAACCUUCAUCCUCUUACAUUAUUACCGAAUACAUUUAACAUCCAAUUGGGUUUAAAUAAAAACAACCUUUACAUGUUUUCAUUAAACAAAAGAUUAAAAAGAGUUGGUUUCUGUAUCGUAGAUUCGAAAUUGUAAGCCCUCAAUUUGUCUAUGUUCUUACUUAAAUUACCCCUCUAAUUGGUAGUUGUGAUUUCCCAUAAAAAUUCAAACCCUACAAAGAAAGAGAUUAAUGGCACAUGAAAACCAUAAAUCGAUAUUAUCAGUUAAAGAACAGGAGGAAUCACCACGCAAUUCUUCAAAUUAAGCUCAAAAUUAACAAUUGAUUUCAAUCCAGCAUAUCACAAAUAAAUAAUCAGUUAAUCACCACCCAAAUCUUCAAAUUGGGCUAAAAAAAUUAACAAGUAAAAGAAACUUUUCCCUCAAUUUUUACGUUACAAAACUAUGAACAUAGAGAGUACGGAAAGAGAUUUUUACCUUUAGUUUUGCAACGAAGUAGGAAUAUAUAGCUUCUCUUCAUAUCUUAUCCUCGAUCUUCUUUCUUUCAGUGAGUCGAUUAGAGUUUUCUUUUCUUUUCUCUUUAUCGCCUCUACUGCUCUCUUUUUUUCCAGCACAAGGUAGGUGUAUCUAUAUAUACUUAUAUACAGAAAACUUCUAUCACACUUCUUGAUCCUUUGAAAACAUUAAAAAAAUAAAAUUAAAUUAAAGGAGCUUAGCCUCAU